This 420-nucleotide ribosomal RNA is filed under the name uncultured bacterium. RNAcentral describes it as "bacterial SSU rRNA". It matches the Rfam family "Bacterial small subunit ribosomal RNA", at positions 355 to 787 of the family's 1533-position model. The record is from RNAcentral.
UGGGGAAUAUUGCACAAUGGGCGAAAGCCUGAUGCAGCGACGCCGCGUGCGGGAUGAAGGCCUUCGGGUUGUAAACCGCUUUUGAUUGGGAGCAAGCGAGAGUGAGUGUACCUUUCGAAUAAGCACCGGCUAACUACGUGCCAGCAGCCGCGGUAAUACGUAGGGUGCAAGCGUUAUCCGGAAUUAUUGGGCGUAAAGAGCUCGUAGGCGGUUUGUCGCGUCUGGUGUGAAAGUCCAUCGCUUAACGGUGGAUCUGCGCCGGGUACGGGCAGGCUAGAGUGCGACAGGGGAGACUGGAAUUCCCGGUGUAACGGUGGAAUGUGUAGAUAUCGGGAAGAACACCAAUGGCGAAGGCAGGUCUCUGGGUCGUCACUGACGCUGAGGAGCGAAAGCGUGGGGAGCGAACAGGAUUAGAUACCC